UCUUGCGCAAUGGGCGAAAGCCUGACGCAGCGACGCCGCGUGGGGGAUGAAGGCCUUCGGGUUGUAAACCCCUUUCAGGAGGGAAGAUGGGACGGGCAACCGUUCGGACGGUACCUUCAGAAGCAGCCACGGCUAACUCUGUGCCAGCAGCCGCGGUAAGACAGAGGUGGCAAACGUUGUUCGGAUUUACUGGGCGUAAAGGGUGCGUAGGUGGUUAGGUAAGACCUGCGGGAAAGACCUGGGCUUAACCCAGGAAGGUCGUAGGUGACUGCCUGGCUAGAGGGCGGGAGAGGAGAGCGGAAUUCCCGGUGUAGCGGUGAAAUGCGUAGAGAUCGGGAGGAAGGCCGGUGGCGAAGGCGGCUCUCUGGAACGUUCCUGACACUGAGCACGAAA
Molecule: ribosomal RNA, 393 nt
Filed under: uncultured bacterium
Lineage: Bacteria
Description: bacterial SSU rRNA
Rfam family: Bacterial small subunit ribosomal RNA
Source: RNAcentral